Long non-coding RNA from Raphanus sativus (radish), 850 nucleotides. RefSeq lists it as uncharacterized. The record is from RefSeq and is a predicted model, not a curated record. NCBI's taxonomy places the organism in Eukaryota, Viridiplantae, Streptophyta, Magnoliopsida, Brassicales, Brassicaceae. The transcript has 2 exons.
UAAGAACAAAUCAAGGUCAAACUGAAGUAGAAAAUAUUAAGGAAACAAUUAGAGUUUUAGUCUCAAUACUCUGAUAUAGGGGUGGGCAUAAUAACCGAUACCCGAACCCGAACCCGAACCCGAUCCGAAGUAAGUGGUUCGGUUCGGGUUCGGUUAGUGUCAAAUACCCGAUCGGUUUUCAUUCUGUCUCUUUUCGGUUAACCGAACCCGAUCGAUUAUUACCCGAUACCCGAACUUAACCGAACAUAACCGAAACUAAAUAACCCUACCCAUUACCUAACAUAGACCUUACCAUUUAUGAUUUUUCCCUUUCCUAAAAUCUAGCCUAAAAAUUUUCUGCGUCGUUUAGAGUUCCCCAAAAUUAUCGAUUUCCAAAUCCUUCAUCUAUUAAAAUUUAAUUUCAUAAAUUGUCAAACUGGAAACCCUUAAUAUUCUUCCAUCUUCUCCGUCUCACUCGGUGACAUCCACAUCGAGAAAAAAAUCUGAGAUGGGUUCAUCGUCAUCUCCCUUUCAAAAUAACCAAGGUUUAGAUGGAGAUGAAGAUGGAAAUGAGUUCAUGACUCUGAUUUUUUCUACUUACAGUGUGAAGGAUACAAGAAAGCUUUGGGGUUGGAGUCGUCAUCUAUGUUUGGAAUUAGAAACUCUUUUAAUUUGUUUCAGUUUGUUUGCUUAAUCUAUGAACUUUAUUGAUGUUUUCACUAUGUUUUUAGACAGAUUAUGUUGCUUUGUUUCCAUUUCAUGUGGUUUUAGAGUAUUAUAUUAUCAGGAAGGAGUUAAAGACAAAACAGAACAUGUAUUUCAAAUUUUUUUUUUAAUAUAUGGAGUUCGGAUAUAUCCGAAAUUAACCGAA